CAAGGAAAGUGUGUUUGUUUCGGCAUUGUUGAUGCACAUGCUCAGCAUUCAUGCAGAAAACGUCUUAGGUUGGAAGAUAAACCAGCUGAUUUGAACGAUGAUGCUCUGUUGGUGUACGGACCUUGUGUUGACACUGACCAGGACAACAUUGAAUGGACUGACAGACUAUUGAAAACUUGGAACGACAACAGUUUUAUGGCUAAGGAUUUUGAUACAACUGUCUACCGAGGACGAAUUAAAAUCCAAUCAAGCGCACGAACUUCAACACCAGCACCCAAGUGGUGGAAUGAACUUCCUCUGUCUGUCCAAACAUCUGAGUCUCUUGCUGUCUUUAAAAAAUGAUUAAAAACCUU
Molecule: long non-coding RNA, 353 nt
Organism: Trichomycterus rosablanca
Lineage: Eukaryota; Metazoa; Chordata; Actinopteri; Siluriformes; Trichomycteridae
Exons: 3
Source: RefSeq, a predicted model, not a curated record